ACGCUGGCGGCGUGCCUAAUACAUGCAAGUCGAGCGAAGUUUUUCUGGUGCUUGCAUCUGAAAAACUUAGCGGCGAACGGGUGAGUAACACGUAGGGAACCUGCCUCAUAGACUGGGACAACUAUUGGAAACGAUAGCUAAUACCGGAUAACAGCAUUAACUGCAUGGUUGAUGUUUAAAAGUUGGUUUUGCUAACACUAUGAGAUGGCUUUGCGGUGCAUUAGCUAGUUGGUGGGGUAAAGGCCUACCAAGGCGACGAUGCAUAGCCGACCUGAGAGGGUGAUCGGCCACACUGGGACUGAGACACGGCCCAGACUCCUACGGGAGGCAGCAGUAGGGAAUCUUCCGCAAUGGGCGAAAGCCUGACGGAGCAACGCCGCGUGAGUGAAGAAGGAUUUCGGUUCGUAAAGCUCUGUUGUUAGGGAAGAAUGAUUGUGUAGUAACUAUACACAGUAGAGACGGUACCUAACCAGAAAGCCACGGCUAACUACGUGCCAGCAGCCGCGGUAAUACGUAGGUGGCAAGCGUUGUCCGGAAUUAUUGGGCGUAAAGCGCGCGCAGGUGGUUUAAUAAGUCUGAUGUGAAAGCCCACGGCUCAACCGUAGAGGGUCAUUGGAAACUGUUAAACUUGAGUGCAGGAGAGAAAAGUGGAAUUCCUAGUGUAGCGGUGAAAUGCGUAGAGAUUAGGAGGAACACCAGUGGCGAAGGCGGCUUUUUGGCCUGUAACUGACACUGAGGCGCGAAAGCGUGGGGAGCAAACAGGAUUAGAUACCCUGGUAGUCCACGCCGUAAACGAUGAGUGCUAAGUGUUGGUCUCAUAAGAGAUCAGUGCUGCAGCUAACGCAUUAAGCACUCCGCCUGGGGAGUACGACCGCAAGGUUGAAACUCAAAGGAAUUGACGGGGACCCGC
RNAcentral lists this ribosomal RNA (910 nucleotides) under uncultured bacterium. RNAcentral describes it as "bacterial SSU rRNA". It matches the Rfam family "Bacterial small subunit ribosomal RNA", at positions 33 to 924 of the family's 1533-position model. The record is from RNAcentral.